RNAcentral lists this ribosomal RNA (256 nucleotides) under uncultured bacterium. Its description in RNAcentral is "partial 16S ribosomal RNA". It matches the Rfam family "Bacterial small subunit ribosomal RNA", at positions 524 to 777 of the family's 1533-position model. The record is from RNAcentral.
UACGUAGGUGGCAAGCGUUGUCCGGAUUUAUUGGGUUUAAAGGGUGCGUAGGCGGUUUUUUAAGUCAGUGGUGAAAUACGGCAGCUCAACUGUCGAGGUGCCAUUGAUACUGGGAAACUUGAGUACUGAUGAGGUAGGCGGAAUGGACGGUGUAGCGGUGAAAUGCUUAGAUAUCGUCCAGAACACCGAUAGCGAAGGCAGCUUACUAAGGAGUAACUGACGCUGAGGCACGAAAGUGUGGGAGAUCAAAACAGGA